GAAAUGCGAUAAGUAAUGUGAAUUGCAGAAUUCCGUGAAUCAUCGAAUCUUUGAACGCACAUUGCGCCCUCUGGCAUUCCGGGGGGCAUGCCUGUCCGAGCGUCAUUACGCACCCUCAAGCCCGGCUUGUGUGAUGGGCCCCGGCGUCUCGUUCGCGAGACGGGCCCGAAAGGCAGCGGCGGCGUCGACCCGAUGAGCCCGAGCGUAUGGGGACUUCUGUCACACGUUCGCGGUGCGGACCGACGUCACGUCCGGCUCUCGAGUUCUUCUCUCUCUCAGGUUGACCUCGGAUCAGGUAGGGAUACCCGCUGAACUUAAGC
Molecule: unclassified non-coding RNA, 320 nt
Filed under: plant metagenome
Description: partial contains 5.8S ribosomal RNA, internal transcribed spacer 2, and large subunit ribosomal RNA
Rfam family: 5.8S ribosomal RNA (bases 1-105)
Source: RNAcentral